RNAcentral lists this small RNA (87 nucleotides) under Flavobacterium sp. 103. RNAcentral's name for it is "Flavo-1 RNA". Lineage: Bacteria; Pseudomonadati; Bacteroidota; Flavobacteriia; Flavobacteriales; Flavobacteriaceae. The record is from RNAcentral.
ACUUCGCUCGUGUGUAGUGGAAAUCAUUAUGAGUCUCGUUUUUUUCUAACGAGACUCAUAAUAUUGAAACGGAUAGCAGGAAAUAGC